UCCUUGACAUGCUGCUCAGACUAAAGUGC
This 29-nucleotide non-coding RNA is filed under the name Homo sapiens (human). Lineage: Eukaryota; Metazoa; Chordata; Mammalia; Primates; Hominidae. The record is from RNAcentral.